RNAcentral lists this ribosomal RNA (326 nucleotides) under uncultured eukaryote. RNAcentral describes it as "partial 18S ribosomal RNA". It matches the Rfam family "Eukaryotic small subunit ribosomal RNA", at positions 1470 to 1796 of the family's 1831-position model. The record is from RNAcentral.
CCCUUAGAUGUUCUGGGCCGCACGCGCGCUACACUGAUGAAUUCAACGAGCACUAACCUGUGCAGAAAUGUUCGGGUAAUCUUGUGAAAUUUCAUCGUGAUGGGGAUUGAUUAUUGCAAUUAUUAAUCAUAAACGAGGAAUGCCUAGUAAGCGUGAGUCAUCAGCUCACGUUGAUUACGUCCCUGCCCUUUGUACACACCGCCCGUCGCUCCUACCGAUUGAAUGUGCUGGUGAAAAGUUCGGAUUGGGAAUAGGAGACGGUAACGUAUCCUGUUUCUGAGAAAAUCUUUAAACCCUCCCAUUUAGAGGAAGGAGAAGUCGUAACA